GUGCUCGCUUCGACAACACAUAUACUAAAAUUGGAAUGAUACAGUGAAGAUUAGCAUGGCCCCCGUGAAAGGAUGAUAGCACUAAUUUGUGAAACAUUCCAUAUUUGA
Suncus etruscus (white-toothed pygmy shrew) is the source of this 108-nucleotide small nuclear RNA. The record is from RefSeq and is a predicted model, not a curated record. Lineage: Eukaryota; Metazoa; Chordata; Mammalia; Eulipotyphla; Soricidae.